Molecule: long non-coding RNA, 286 nt
Filed under: Lathyrus oleraceus (garden pea)
Lineage: Eukaryota; Viridiplantae; Streptophyta; Magnoliopsida; Fabales; Fabaceae
Description: Pisum sativum (pea) long non-coding RNA (PSAT_LNC020646)
Source: RNAcentral
UAUUGACUUGCUUUCUUUGAUGGUUCCAGCUCGAGAGAUCUCUGGGUUUCUUAUUUCUUUAGCUGUUAUUACUUCGGAUCUUUAUCCGUGUGGUAGACCUCUUGAUCCCUUUAUCUUUCCCGCAUUUUACGGCUUUCUUAGCUGGAAGACCUCGAUAGGAGGCAAUGUUUUCUUUUGUUUGUUUACUUUUGUGCCCAAAGACCUCCAAAAGGAGGCACCAGUGCUAAAGACCUCCAUGAAGAGGCAAUUGACGGAUAAAAGGGAUUAGUAAUCAAUCCCCCAUUAU